GACGAACGCUGGCGGCGUGCCUAAUACAUGCAAGUUGAGCGCUGAAGGUUGGUACUUGUACCAACUGGAUGAGCAGCGAACGGGUGAGUAACGCGUGGGGAAUCUGCCUUUGAGCGGGGGACAACAUUUGGAAACGAAUGCUAAUACCGCAUAAAAACUUUAAACACAAGUUUUAAGUUUGAAAGAUGCAAUUGCAUCACUCAAAGAUGAUCCCGCGUUGUAUUAGCUAGUUGGUGAGGUAAAGGCUCACCAAGGCGAUGAUACAUAGCCGACCUGAGAGGGUGAUCGGCCACAUUGGGACUGAGAAGCGGCCCAAACUCCUACGGGAGGCAGCAGUAGGGAAUCUUCGGCAAUGGACGAAAGUCUGACCGAGCAACGCCGCGUGAGUGAAGAAGGUUUUCGGAUCGUAAAACUCUGUUGGUAGAGAAGAACGUUGGUGAGAGUGGAAAGCUCAUCAAGUGACGGUAACUACCCAGAAAGGGACGGCUAACUACGUG
This 497-nucleotide ribosomal RNA is filed under the name uncultured bacterium. Its description in RNAcentral is "partial 16S ribosomal RNA". It matches the Rfam family "Bacterial small subunit ribosomal RNA", at positions 28 to 507 of the family's 1533-position model. The record is from RNAcentral.